GAGAAAGUAGAUGAUGUGGAAGGUGAUGUGGAGGGUGAUGUGGAGAGUGGGGUGUGAGAAGAAAAAUAGGUAGUGAAGAAGUAAAAAAAAUGUGAGAUUAUUUUGGGUCAUUGGGUUAAGGAAAAAAAUUAAUUUGGGGGUGCAAAUAGNAAAACGAAAUAGUAUUUUUUUAUUUUUUAUUUAUUUUUUAUUUAUUUUCUUUUUCUUUUUCCCUUUGUUUAUUUUUUACUAUUUAUUUUUCUUUUUUCUUUU
RNAcentral lists this long non-coding RNA (252 nucleotides) under Vigna radiata. Its description in RNAcentral is "long non-coding RNA (VRAD_LNC011045)". The record is from RNAcentral. Lineage: Eukaryota; Viridiplantae; Streptophyta; Magnoliopsida; Fabales; Fabaceae.